Molecule: ribosomal RNA, 442 nt
Filed under: uncultured bacterium
Lineage: Bacteria
Description: partial 16S ribosomal RNA
Rfam family: Bacterial small subunit ribosomal RNA
Source: RNAcentral
CCUACGUGUGGCAGCAGUGGGGAAUAUUGCACAAUGGGGGAAACCCUGAUGCAGCGACGCCGCGUGGGCGAAGAAGUAUUUCGGUAUGUAAAGCCCUAUCAGCAGGGAAGAAAAAAUGACUGUACCUGUGUAACAAGCACCGUCUCAAUACGUGCCAGCCGCCGCGGUAAUACGUAGGGUGCAAGAGUUAUCCGUAUUUACUGGGUGUAAAGGGAGCGUAGGCGUCACGAGAAGCCUGAGGUGAAUGCCCGCGGCUCAACCGCGGAAUUGAAGUGGGCACUGGCGGGCUGGAGUGCAGGAGAGGUAGGCGGAAUGCGUAGUGUAGCGGUGAAAUGCGUAGAUAUGAGGAGGAACACCAGUGGCGAAGGCGGCUUACUGGACGGUAACUGACGCUGAGGCUCGAAAGCGUGGGGAGCAAACAGGAUUAGAUACCCCUGUAGUC